Molecule: long non-coding RNA, 1916 nt
Organism: Mustela erminea (ermine)
Lineage: Eukaryota; Metazoa; Chordata; Mammalia; Carnivora; Mustelidae
Exons: 4
Source: RefSeq, a predicted model, not a curated record
AUGACUGGAUCCCACAACCCUGAGAUCGUGACCUGAACCGAAAUCAAGAGUUGGCCACUCACUCGACUGAGCCACCCAGACAUCCCGAGGGAAAGCUCCUUAUAAUAAGAAUGAAGAUCUUCUCCCAAGAAAAUAUUUUGAGGUUGACUUUCCGGUCACAGUCACGAGAAAGCUACACAGAAUCAAGCCUCCCUCCGUCAGGAGUCCUGGGAUACUUGGCGGGGUAUUCCAACUUUGCAGGAUGCUUUUCCACAGCAGACCAGUUUUUCCAGAGAUGUGCUGGACUUUGCUGAUGUCAUCUGGGUACAGCAAAAAUCAACAGACCUUCCAAACGUGAUCCUAACACUGAAGGCGGAAGCGACACAGUGGAAGAACUUGUCCCAGUCUUCACCGCAGGGACUGAAGAGCUCAGACUCAGCUGCAGUCUGGAAACUGAAGAACACCAUCAGGGACAGAACAGCAUCGGGUGAGGGAGAUGGACGACCACAUCAGCUUGGAGUGGCGGGAUUACAGAAUAUCCCCCAGGAGCUUCCCCAGGAAAAGAGUUUGGAUGUUGGGAGCAUAACCGCCACACCCUCCAUAGCUCGGUAGUCGCCUCAGCCUCUGCUGGCAUAGAGCAAUAAAGAAGCACAGACAAAGGUCAGGGCCAGAGUCUCCAUUGACUCUAUCCAGUUUUCAUUUUCUCAUACUUGGGCUCACCUCAUCAGGGCUGUAUGGUAAGAACUAGAUUUACCCUUGAGUUGACAAUGUUUAUGGAGUUUCUACCCAAGGCUUCACAGCAGGCACUGGAGAAAGAUGACAAGAGCUCUCUCUCGAGGCCUUCUGUUUACUGGAGAACAAGAACAAGUAAAUAGGCACUGCAUCAUAGAAAACCGGGUGCUGUGUGGACUUAUGAAAUUUCCCAGGAUGGGUCCCUCCAGUCUUUGUUGGAGCAUCAGUAACAUCAGUGAAGGGCUUUUAGAGGAAGAGACCUUAGCCUGGAGAGCAGAAAAAUGAGUAGGCAGCAGCUACAGGGCUGGUGUGGUGAAAGGAGCUCCGGAAUAUUCCAGGGAGGGGUGAACAGGUAGGAAUCCUUGGCCUGCUCUGGAAUCUAAAAGCAGGGCAUCCGUGGCUGAAAUGGAAGUGUGAAGAGAGAAGCUGUUGCAGAGGAAGUUGGGCCAAGGAGAGCCUGACCAGCUUGGGAGCUUGAAAGGGCUCAGAACGGGUGUGCCUGGGUAGCUCAGUUGGUUCAGCGUCUGCCUUUGGCUCAGGUCAUGAUCCCAGGGUCCUGGGAGAGGGGCCCGAGGUCAAGCUGCCUGCUUGGUAGGAAGCCUGCAUCCUCCUCUCCCAGAGCUUGUGUUCUCGCUCUGUCAAAUAAAUAAAGAUGAAUAAAAGCCUCAGAACUUUGUGCCAAAAGAGCAAACACCCAUUUCCUGGUAUGGUGUAUAAACAGGCCAGAACGACAAUGUGACAAAUCUGUCUUGACCCUCACCAAAUACUGAUUUCACAAGACAUGUUACUAAGACUCCCAAGGAAUUAUCUUAGAAUUCAUUUACAGAUUCUCCACUGAAACAUUAGCCCCCACACCUGAUGAGGGAGCAGAAGGCUAGUUGAGGUCAAGGCAGAAGCUGACACCCUGCACUCACUGCCCCCAUGCCUCGGUGGGACCUGUGUGACCUUCGUUCAGGAAACUUCCAACCAUCUUCAUGUUCAUUCCUUGCUGGAAGGUAAAACCACCUCACUUGACCAUGGCAAGGUCUCCAGUAUCAUGUAGGUCCUCUUUAGCAUAGGGAAGUGCUUUUGAAACCCUCCCCUUCCCUUUCCUCACCUCCCCCACCUUCCAAGUGUGUAUCAGUUGCCCCCACAACCCUGAUGCAGCUAUUUCUGCCCACGGAUCCUGUCCCUGUGCUUUAAUAAAACCACUAUUUUGCACCAAA